Molecule: small nucleolar RNA, 129 nt
Filed under: Moschus moschiferus (Siberian musk deer)
Lineage: Eukaryota; Metazoa; Chordata; Mammalia; Artiodactyla; Moschidae
Description: Small nucleolar RNA SNORA3/SNORA45 family (ENSMMSG00000020135.1)
Rfam family: Small nucleolar RNA SNORA3/SNORA45 family
About the family: The members of this family belong to the H/ACA class of snoRNAs which are thought to guide the sites of modification of uridines to pseudouridines.
Source: Rfam by way of RNAcentral
CCUGAGACUAGAGUCACAUCCAGACAGCUUUUGUUCUGGUGUGCUAGAGUCCUCGGAUAGAACCUGCUGGUCUUGAUUCACUGGCGAGGGCAAUCAGUGCCUCUGUGAAUGCCCAUAUCAGAAACAUGC